CCCUUAGAUGUUCUGGGCAGCACGCGCGCUACAAUGGUCUUCGCAAACGGAUGCAUUCUCGAAGGAGAAUGCCAAUCUUGGAAUCUAUGCCUUGGUCGGGACAGUUGCUUGCAAUUUUUCGACUCGAACCAGGAAUUCCUUGUAAUCGUGAUUCAUCACAUCACGAUGAAUACGUCCCUGCCCUUUGUACACACCGCCCGUCGCUCCUACCGAUCGAAGAGUUAGGUGAAUUGUUUUGAUCGAUAAGAUUUGACUAUUGUCAACUCUCGUUGUGAAAUUCUGUGAAUCUGACUGUUUAGAGGAAGGAAAAGUCGUAACA
Molecule: ribosomal RNA, 319 nt
Filed under: uncultured eukaryote
Lineage: Eukaryota
Description: partial 18S ribosomal RNA
Rfam family: Eukaryotic small subunit ribosomal RNA
Source: RNAcentral